ACAAGCGAGCGGCGGACGGGUGAGCAACACGUGGGUAACCUGCCCAAGAGACUGGGAUAACACCUGGAAACAGAUGCUAAUACCGGAUAACAACACUAGACGCAUGUCUAGAGUUUGAAAGAUGGUUCUGCUAUCACUCUUGGAUGGACCUGCGGUGCAUUAGCUAGUUGGUAGGGUAACGGCUUACCAAGGCAAUGAUGCAUAGCCGAGUUGAGAGACUGAUCGGCCACAUUGGGACUGAGACACGGCCCAAACUCCUACGGGAGGCAGCAGUAGGGAAUCUUCCACAAUGGACGAAAGUCUGAUGGAGCAACGCCGCGUGAGUGAAGAAGGGUUUCGGCUCGUAAAGCUCUGUUGGUAGUGAAGAAAGAUAGAGGUAGUAACUGGCCUUUAUUUGACGGUAAUUACUUAGAAAGUCACGGCUAACUACGUGCCAGCAGCCGCGGUAAUACGUAGGUGGCAAGCGUUGUCCGGAUUUAUUGGGCGUAAAGCGAGUGCAGGCGGUUCAAUAAGUCUGAUGUGAAAGCCUUCGGCUCAACCGGAGAAUUGCAUCAGAAACUGUUGAACUUGAGUGCAGAAGAGGAGAGUGGAACUCCACGUGUAGCGGUGGAAUGCGUAGAUAUAUGGAAGAACACCAGUGGCGAAGGCGGCUCUCUGGUCUGCAACUGACGCUGAGGCUCGAAAGCAUGGGUAGCGAACAGGAUUAGAUACCCUGGUAGUCCAUGCCGUAAA
Molecule: ribosomal RNA, 732 nt
Filed under: uncultured bacterium
Lineage: Bacteria
Description: bacterial SSU rRNA
Rfam family: Bacterial small subunit ribosomal RNA
Source: RNAcentral